CUGCACCCGCUGACGAGCGGCGGACGGGUGAGUAAUGCAUAGGAAUCUGCCCGAUAGUGGGGGAUAACCUGGGGAAACCCAGGCUAAUACCGCAUACGUCCUACGGGAGAAAGGGGGCUUCGGCUCCCGCUAUCGGAUGAGCCUAUGUCGGAUUAGCUAGUUGGUGAGGUAAAGGCUCACCAAGGCGACGAUCCGUAGCUGGUCUGAGAGGAUGAUCAGCCACAUCGGGACUGAGACACGGCCCGAACUCCUACGGGAGGCAGCAGUGGGGAAUAUUGGACAAUGGGGGGAACCCUGAUCCAGCCAUGCCGCGUGUGUGAAGAAGGCCCUCGGGUUGUAAAGCACUUUCAGUGAGGAAGAACGCCUGGUGGUUAAUACCCAUCAGGAAAGACAUCACUCACAGAAGAAGCACCGGCUAACUCCGUGCCAGCAGCCGCGGUAAUACGGAGGGUGCGAGCGUUAAUCGGAAUUACUGGGCGUAAAGCGCGCGUAGGUGGCUUGAUAAGCCGGUUGUGAAAGCCCCGGGCUCAACCUGGGAACGGCAUCCGGAACUGUCAAGCUAGAGUGCAGGAGAGGAAGGUAGAAUUCCCGGUGUAGCGGUGAAAUGCGUAGAGAUCGGGAGGAAUACCAGUGGCGAAGGCGGCCUUCUGGACUGACACUGACACUGAGGUGCGAAAGCGUGGGUAGCAAACAGGAUUAGAUACCCUGGUAGUCCACGCCGUAAACGAUGUCGACCAGCCGUUGGGUGCCUAGCGCACUUUGUGGCGAAGUUAACGCGAUAAGUCGACCGCCUGGGGAGUACGGCCGCAAGGUUAAAACUCAAAUGGAUUGACGGGGGCCCGCACAAGCGGUGGAGCAUGUGGUUUAAUUCGAUGCAACGCGAAGAACCUUACCUACUCUUGACAUCCUGCGAAUUCGGUAGAGAUACCUUUAGUGCCUUCGGGAACGCAAAGACAGGUGCUGCAUGGCUGUCGUCAGCUCGUGUUGUGAAAUGUUGGGUUAAGUCCCGUAACGAGCGCAACCCU
RNAcentral lists this ribosomal RNA (1025 nucleotides) under uncultured Gammaproteobacteria bacterium. RNAcentral's name for it is "bacterial SSU rRNA". It matches the Rfam family "Bacterial small subunit ribosomal RNA", at positions 79 to 1105 of the family's 1533-position model. The record is from RNAcentral. Lineage: Bacteria; Pseudomonadati; Pseudomonadota; Gammaproteobacteria.